This 75-nucleotide small RNA is filed under the name Xanthomonas bromi. RNAcentral's name for it is "sX9 sRNA". It matches the Rfam family "Xanthomonas sRNA sX9". Lineage: Bacteria; Pseudomonadati; Pseudomonadota; Gammaproteobacteria; Lysobacterales; Lysobacteraceae. The record is from RNAcentral.
AAGUACCACACGUACAUCCCGGUUCUCGGCGUCGUCCGCACCCUGCUGAGGGCGGCUCGCCACGGUUUGCCUGCC